This 253-nucleotide ribosomal RNA is filed under the name uncultured bacterium. RNAcentral's name for it is "partial 16S ribosomal RNA". It matches the Rfam family "Bacterial small subunit ribosomal RNA", at positions 524 to 776 of the family's 1533-position model. The record is from RNAcentral.
UACGUAUGGGGCAAGCGUUAUCCGGAUUUACUGGGUGUAAAGGGAGCGCAGGCGGCCUGGCAAGCCUGAUGUGAAAUACCGGGGCCCAACCCCGGGGCUGCAUUGGGAACUGCCAGGCUGGAGUGCCGGAGAGGCAGGCGGAAUUCCUAGUGUAGCGGUGAAAUGCGUAGAUAUUAGGAGGAACACCAGUGGCGAAGGCGGCCUGCUGGACGGUGACUGACGCUGAGGCUCGAAAGCGUGGGGAGCGAACAGG